Octopus bimaculoides (California two-spot octopus) is the source of this 75-nucleotide non-coding RNA. The record is from Rfam. NCBI's taxonomy places the organism in Eukaryota, Metazoa, Mollusca, Cephalopoda, Octopoda, Octopodidae.
GGUAGUUUAGCUUAAUCGGUUAAAGCACCGUGACACGUAAUCACGGAGGUGUGAGUUCGCAUCUCAUAGCUGGUC